This 379-nucleotide ribosomal RNA is filed under the name uncultured cyanobacterium. RNAcentral's name for it is "bacterial SSU rRNA". It matches the Rfam family "Bacterial small subunit ribosomal RNA", at positions 376 to 770 of the family's 1533-position model. Lineage: Bacteria; Bacillati; Cyanobacteriota. The record is from RNAcentral.
CGCAAGCCUGACGGAGCAAGACCGCGUGGGGGAGGAAUGCCUUAGGGUUGUAAACCCCUUUUAUCUGGGAAGAAUCAAUGACGGUACCUGAUGAAUCAGCCUCGGCUAACUCCGUGCCAGCAGCCGCGGUAAUACGGAGGAGGCAAGCGUUAUCCGGAAUUAUUGGGCGUAAAGAGUCCGUAGGUGGUGGGGCAAGUCGGCGGUUAAAGACUGGGGCUUAACUCCAGAAAAGCCGUGGAAACUGCACCACUAGAGGGCAGUAGGGGUAGAGGGAAUUCCCGGUGUAGCGGUGAAAUGCGUAGAUAUCGGGAAGAACACCAGUGGCGAAAGCGCUCUACUGGACUGCAACUGACACUGAGGGACGAAAGCUAGGGGAGCG